This 482-nucleotide ribosomal RNA is filed under the name uncultured bacterium. Its description in RNAcentral is "partial 16S ribosomal RNA". It matches the Rfam family "Bacterial small subunit ribosomal RNA", at positions 30 to 507 of the family's 1533-position model. The record is from RNAcentral.
AUUGAACGCUGGCGGCAUGAUUUACACAUGCAAGUCGAACGGUAACAGGCCGCAAGGUGCUGACGAGUGGCGAACGGGUGAGUAAUGCAUCGGAACGUGCCCAGUCGUGGGGGAUAACUACUCGAAAGAGUAGCUAAUACCGCAUACGAUCUAUGGAUGAAAGCGGGGGACCGUAAGGCCUCGCGCGAUUGGAGCGGCCGAUGUCAGAUUAGGUAGUUGGUGGGGUAAAGGCUCACCAAGCCAACGAUCUGUAGCUGGUCUGAGAGGACGACCAGCCACACUGGGACUGAGACACGGCCCAGACUCCUACGGGAGGCAGCAGUGGGGAAUUUUGGACAAUGGGCGCAAGCCUGAUCCAGCAAUGCCGCGUACAGGAAGAAGGCCUUCGGGUUGUAAACUGCUUUUGUACGGAACGAAACGGCUCUGGUUAAUACCCGGGGCUAAUGACGGUACCGUAAGAAUAAGCACCGGCUAACUACGUG